This 380-nucleotide ribosomal RNA is filed under the name uncultured bacterium. RNAcentral's name for it is "bacterial SSU rRNA". It matches the Rfam family "Bacterial small subunit ribosomal RNA", at positions 83 to 462 of the family's 1533-position model. The record is from RNAcentral.
UCCUGGUGGCGAGUGGCGAACGGGUGAGUAAUAUAUCGGAACGUGCCCAAUCGUGGGGGAUAACGCAGCGAAAGCUGUGCUAAUACCGCAUACGAUCUACGGAUGAAAGCGGGGGACUCAGCAAUGAGCCUCGCGCGAAUGGAGCGGCCGAUAUCAGAUUAGCUAGUUGGUGGGGUAAAGGCUCACCAAGGCGACGAUCUGUAGCUGGUCUGAGAGGACGACCAGCCACACUGGAACUGAGACACGGUCCAGACUCCUACGGGAGGCAGCAGUGGGGAAUUUUGGACAAUGGGCGCAAGCCUGAUCCAGCAAUGCCGCGUGCAGGAUGAAGGCCUUCGGGUUGUAAACUGCUUUUGUACGGAACGAAAAGACUCCUUUUA